Molecule: long non-coding RNA, 305 nt
Filed under: Mytilus galloprovincialis (Mediterranean mussel)
Lineage: Eukaryota; Metazoa; Mollusca; Bivalvia; Mytilida; Mytilidae
Source: RNAcentral
AUGUAAACUUCUAAUGUUUUUCAGAUGGCUAAUGAACUAAAAGGGCUGAACCAGUGGUUAAGGGACAAUAAUGGAAAAAAUACUGCAGAUAAAGACAACAGAGAAAUUAAGAGAAAAUAGGGAUAAUAUGGAUAAUCGGGACAAUCAUAGAGACAGCAGAGAAUACCGAGAUUAUAGAGACAGAAGAAAUCAUCCAUAUAGAUAGAUAGAUGCUCAAACAGUAGUCAGUGAUUUGACUUCAAUUGUGACAAGUUGUUUUAUGACAGCGACAUUUUCCGCAUCAUAUAUAUAUAUAUAUAUAUAAA